AGCGAACGCUGGCGGCAGGCCUAACACAUGCAAGUCGAACGGAUCCUUCGGGAUUAGUGGCGGACGGGUGAGUAACACGUGGGAACGUGCCCUUUGGUUCGGAACAACUCAGGGAAACUUGAGCUAAUACCGGAUGUGCCCUUCGGGGGAAAGAUUUAUCGCCAUUGGAGCGGCCCGCGUCUGAUUAGCUAGUUGGUGAGGUAACGGCCCACCAAGGCGACGAUCAGUAGCUGGUCUGAGAGGAUGAUCAGCCACACUGGGACUGAGACACGGCCCAGACUCCUACGGGAGGCAGCAGUGGGGAAUCUUGCGCAAUGGGCGAAAGCCUGACGCAGCCAUGCCGCGUGAAUGAUGAAGGUCUUAGGAUUGUAAAAUUCUUUCAGCGGGGACGAUAAUGACGGUACCCGCAGAAGAAGUUCCGGCUAACUUCGUG
RNAcentral lists this ribosomal RNA (433 nucleotides) under uncultured bacterium. Its description in RNAcentral is "partial 16S ribosomal RNA". It matches the Rfam family "Bacterial small subunit ribosomal RNA", at positions 29 to 507 of the family's 1533-position model. The record is from RNAcentral.